This 253-nucleotide ribosomal RNA is filed under the name uncultured bacterium. Its description in RNAcentral is "partial 16S ribosomal RNA". It matches the Rfam family "Bacterial small subunit ribosomal RNA", at positions 524 to 776 of the family's 1533-position model. The record is from RNAcentral.
UACGGGGGGGGCAAGCGUUGUUCGGAAUUAUUGGGCGUAAAGGGCUCGUAGGCGGCCAACUAAGUCAGACGUGAAAUCCCCAGGCUCAACCUGGGAACUGCGUCUGAUACUGGAUGGCUUGAAUUCGGGAGAGGGAUGCAGAAUUCCAGGUGUAGCGGUGAAAUGCGUAGAUAUCUGGAGGAAUACCGGUGGCGAAGGCGGUCCCCUGGGCCGGAACUGACGCUGAGGCGCGAAAGCGUGGGUAGCAAACGGG